This 253-nucleotide ribosomal RNA is filed under the name uncultured bacterium. RNAcentral's name for it is "partial 16S ribosomal RNA". It matches the Rfam family "Bacterial small subunit ribosomal RNA", at positions 524 to 776 of the family's 1533-position model. The record is from RNAcentral.
UACGAAGGGUGCAAGCGUUGUUCGGAAUCAUUGGGCGUAAAGUGCGCGCAGGCGGAUUAAUAAGUCAGGUGUGAAAUCUCGGGGCUCAACCUCGAAACUGCGCCUGAAACUAUUAGUCUAGAAUGUCGGAGGGGGUAGGGGAAUUUCACGUGUAGGGGUAAAAUCCGUAGAGAUGUGAAGGAACACCGGUGGCGAAGGCGCCUACCUGGACGACUAUUGACGCUGAGGCGCGAAAGCGUGGGGAGCAAACAGG